RNAcentral lists this ribosomal RNA (525 nucleotides) under Triticum aestivum (bread wheat). RNAcentral describes it as "partial small subunit ribosomal RNA". The record is from RNAcentral. Lineage: Eukaryota; Viridiplantae; Streptophyta; Magnoliopsida; Poales; Poaceae.
UUUUCUUGCGUCUGGAAGUCCAAAGUGUCGCCUAAGAUUAAGAUUUUCCUUUGGCAAGCUUUUAGAGGCCGCCUUCCUGCGGCCGACCAAAUUCGCAAGCGCAACGGGCCGGGCUCGGAGUUCUGUCAACUUUGCGGUGCUUUGGAAAACACGGAACACAUCUUUUUUCACUGCGUGUUGGCUAAGUUGGUGUGGAGCUGUGUCAGGUCUUGGCUCCAGGUUUCUUGGAACCCCUCUUCCUUCUCUGAGCUUAGAAACCUAGCCAAAGUUUUGGUUGGGGUCACCAAGAGGGUGUUCUGGGUCGGCUUGGGCGCCUUAUGUUGGGCUUUAUGGUCCAUUAGGAACAAAUUUACUAUUGAGCAUACCUUUCCAUCUAAGCCUGCUGACGUGCUUUUCAAAUCAUGUAUACUCUUGCAGCAGUGGAGAUUAUUGACUAAGGAUGAAGAUUGGGAUGCCCUGGACCUGCUCAUCGCCAAAAUUCGGGCUUCGGCGUCCCACAUCUCCGGGCUGGAUCCUGCCGUCUGA